UGGUGGGUAGUUUGACUGGGGCGGUCUCCUCCUAAAGAGUAACGGAGGAGCACGAAGGUUGGCUAAUCCUGGUCGGACAUCAGGAGGUUAGUGCAAUGGCAUAAGCCAGCUUGACUGCGAGCGUGACGGCGCGAGCAGGUGCGAAAGCAGGUCAUAGUGAUCCGGUGGUUCUGAAUGGAAGGGCCAUCGCUCAACGGAUAAAAGGUACUCCGGGGAUAACAGGCUGAUACCGCCCAAGAGUUCAUAUCGACGGCGGUGUUUGGCACCUCGAUGUCGGCUCAUCACAUCCUGGGGCUGAAGUAGG
RNAcentral lists this ribosomal RNA (304 nucleotides) under Escherichia coli. Its description in RNAcentral is "partial 23S ribosomal RNA". It matches the Rfam family "Bacterial large subunit ribosomal RNA", at positions 2259 to 2562 of the family's 2925-position model. The record is from RNAcentral. Lineage: Bacteria; Pseudomonadati; Pseudomonadota; Gammaproteobacteria; Enterobacterales; Enterobacteriaceae.